This is a long non-coding RNA of Trichomycterus rosablanca, 191 nucleotides long. RefSeq lists it as uncharacterized. NCBI's taxonomy places the organism in Eukaryota, Metazoa, Chordata, Actinopteri, Siluriformes, Trichomycteridae. The record is from RefSeq and is a predicted model, not a curated record. The transcript is spliced from 3 exons.
UUUAUUAUCCAGAAUAAUCAGCUGUUGUACGAGAAAAGGUUUAAGCGUAACCUCACAGUUCUGAUGGAAGAUCUGCAGCUGUGUUCAGUCCAAUGCUGUGAGGACGUCAGGCGCCGCUUCUGUUUUCAGGUGGUUUCACCAACAAAGAGUCGUACGUUUCAGGCCGAUUCAGAGGCGAGCAGACAGGCUUG